RNAcentral lists this unclassified non-coding RNA (147 nucleotides) under uncultured Ascomycota. RNAcentral's name for it is "sequence contains ITS2". Lineage: Eukaryota; Fungi; Ascomycota. The record is from RNAcentral.
CAACCCUCAAGCACUGCUUGGUGUUGGGCCUCGCCGGUCACCCGGCGGGCUCUAAAAUCAGUGGCGGCGCCGUCGGGCUCUGAGCGUAGUAAUUCUUCUCGCUACAGGGUCCCGGUGGAGGCUGGCCAGCAACCCCCAACUUUCUAU